AUUGAACGCUGGCGGCAGGCCUAACACAUGCAAGUCGAGCGGAGCGGCGGACGGGUGAGUAAUGCCUAGGAAUCUGCCUGGUAGUGGGGGAUAACGUCCGGAAACGGGCGCUAAUACCGCAUACUAUCAGAUGAGCCUAGGGUGGAUUUGCUAGUUGGUGGGGUAAAGGCCUACCAAGGCGACGAUCCGUAACUGGUCUGAGAGGAUGAUCAGUCACACUGGAACGGAGACCAGGUCCAACCUCCGACGGGAGGCAGCAGUGGGGAAUAUUGGACAAUGGGCGAAAGGCUGUACCAGCCAUGCCGCGUGUGUGAAGAAGGUCUUCGGAUUGUAAAGCACUUUAAGUUGGGAAGCGUUACCAACAGAAUAAGCACCGGCUAACUCCGUGCCAGCAGCCGCGGUAAUUC
Molecule: ribosomal RNA, 407 nt
Filed under: uncultured bacterium
Lineage: Bacteria
Description: partial 16S ribosomal RNA
Rfam family: Bacterial small subunit ribosomal RNA
Source: RNAcentral